UACGAAGGGGGCGAGCGUUGUUCGGAUUUACUGGGCGUAAAGGGCGCGCAGGCGGCGGACCAAGUCAGGCGUGAAAGCCCCGGGCUUAACCUGGGAGGUGCGUCUGGGACUGGUCUGCUAGAGAUCGGGAGAGGAGAGUGGAAUUCCCAGUGUAGAGGUGAAAUUCGUAGAUAUUGGGAAGAACACCAGUGGCGAAGGCGGCUCUCUGGACCGAUACUGACGCUGAGGCGCGAAAGCGUGGGGAGCAAACAGG
Molecule: ribosomal RNA, 253 nt
Filed under: uncultured bacterium
Lineage: Bacteria
Description: partial 16S ribosomal RNA
Rfam family: Bacterial small subunit ribosomal RNA
Source: RNAcentral